ACGGGUGAGUAACGCGUGGGAACAUACCCAACUCUACGGAAUAACUCAGGGAAACUUGUGCUAAUACCGUAUACGCCCUUCGGGGGAAAGAUUUAUCGGAGUUGGAUUGGCCCGCGUUGGAUUAGCUAGUUGGUGGGGUAAAGGCCUACCAAGGCGACGAUCCAUAGCUGGUCUGAGAGGAUGAUCAGCCACAUUGGGACUGAGACACGGCCCAAACUCCUACGGGAGGCAGCAGUGGGGAAUAUUGGACAAUGGGCGCAAGCCUGAUCCAGCCAUGCCGCGUGUGUGAUGAAGGCCUUAGGGUUGUAAAGCACUUUCACCGGAGAAGAUAAUGACGGUAUCCGGAGAAGAAGCCCCGGCUAACUUCGUGCCAGCAGCCGCGGUAAUACGAAGGGGGCUAGCGUUGUUCGGAAUUACUGGGCGUAAAGCGCACGUAGGCGGAUCGAUCAGUCAGGGGUGAAAUCCCUGAGCUCAACUCUGGAACUGCCUUUGAUACUGUCGGUCUAGAGUAUGGAAGAGGUGAGUGGAAUUCCGAGUGUAGAGGUGAAAUUCGUAGA
RNAcentral lists this ribosomal RNA (557 nucleotides) under uncultured Hyphomicrobiales bacterium. RNAcentral describes it as "bacterial SSU rRNA". It matches the Rfam family "Bacterial small subunit ribosomal RNA", at positions 102 to 694 of the family's 1533-position model. The record is from RNAcentral. Lineage: Bacteria; Pseudomonadati; Pseudomonadota; Alphaproteobacteria; Hyphomicrobiales.